This 253-nucleotide ribosomal RNA is filed under the name uncultured bacterium. Its description in RNAcentral is "partial 16S ribosomal RNA". It matches the Rfam family "Bacterial small subunit ribosomal RNA", at positions 524 to 776 of the family's 1533-position model. The record is from RNAcentral.
UACGGAGGGUGCAAGCGUUAAUCGGAAUUACUGGGCGUAAAGCGCACGCAGGCGGUUAAUUAAGUCAGAUGUGAAAGCCCCGGGCUCAACCUGGGAAUUGCAUCCGAAACUGGCAAGCUUGAGUCUUGUAGAGGGGGGUAGAAUUCCAGGUGUAGCGGUGAAAUGCGUAGAGAUGUGGAGGAAUACCGGUGGCGAAGGCGGCCCCCUGGACGAAGACUGACGCUCAGGUGCGAAAGCGUGGGGAGCAAACAGG